GCUGGAGAAAACAUCGACGAUACAUCGAUUUAUCGAUGUUUUCAAAACAUCGUAAACAUCGAGAUUUUAAAACAUCGAUGUUCGAUGUUUCCGCUUUUCCCAUCACUACUUUGCCGGGAAAGAUCUUGAUUAUUACAGAUUGUGAUUAAUAUUGGUGUUGGCGGCAUUUGGGAUGGAGAAGACAUUGAAAGAGCAGAACAGCAAUGUUGCCGGAAAAGACGAAGAAAACGACGCCGCCGAGGGUAUGCUCUUAAAUAAUAGAAAAAAAUAUGGGACAUCUUCUGUUUGGAAUUAUUUUGACAAAUCGGCUGAUGGCAAGACAGCCAAAUGUAUUAAAUGUGGCAAAACAUAUCAAACAAGUGGGAAUACGACCAACUUGUCUUGCCACAUAAAGAGGAUACAUCCUAAUUUUACUGUAAGUGAUUUGCCACAAAGGCAACAGCCGUCAAUUCUGUCAUUCAUUGACAAAAAAUAUGAAACAUCGUCGAACCGAAAACAAACACUGGACCGUGCCUUAUGCUCCUA
This is a long non-coding RNA of Drosophila teissieri, 525 nucleotides long. RefSeq lists it as uncharacterized. Lineage: Eukaryota; Metazoa; Arthropoda; Insecta; Diptera; Drosophilidae. The transcript has 3 exons. The record is from RefSeq and is a predicted model, not a curated record.